Molecule: transfer RNA, 72 nt
Organism: Erythrobacter litoralis HTCC2594
Lineage: Bacteria; Pseudomonadati; Pseudomonadota; Alphaproteobacteria; Sphingomonadales; Erythrobacteraceae
Rfam family: tRNA
About the family: Transfer RNA (tRNA) molecules are approximately 80 nucleotides in length. Their secondary structure includes four short double-helical elements and three loops (D, anti-codon, and T loops). Further hydrogen bonds mediate the characteristic L-shaped molecular structure. tRNAs have two regions of fundamental functional importance: the anti-codon, which is responsible for specific mRNA codon recognition, and the 3' end, to which the tRNAs corresponding amino acid is attached (by aminoacyl-tRNA synthetases). tRNAs cope with the degeneracy of the genetic code in two manners: having more than one tRNA (with a specific anti-codon) for a particular amino acid; and 'wobble' base-pairing, i.e. permitting non-standard base-pairing at the 3rd anti-codon position.
Source: Rfam
GGGCGCGUAGCUCAGUGGUAGAGCACACCCUUCACACGGGUGGGGUCACAGGUUCAAUCCCUGUCGCGCCCA